Molecule: ribosomal RNA, 279 nt
Filed under: uncultured bacterium
Lineage: Bacteria
Description: partial 16S ribosomal RNA
Rfam family: Archaeal small subunit ribosomal RNA
Source: RNAcentral
UGCCAGCAGCCGCGGUAAAACCAGCACCUCAAGUGGUCAGGAGGAUUAUUGGGCCUAAAGCAUCCGUAGCCUGCUCUGUAAGUUUCCGGUUAAAUCCAUUCGCUCAACUGAUGGGCUGCCGGAAAAACUGCAAAGCUAGGGAGUGGGAGAGGUAGACGGUACUCGGUAGGAGGGGGUAAAAUCCUUUGAUCUAUUGAUGACCACCUGUGGCGAAGGCGGUCUACCAGAACACGUUCGACGGUGAGGGAUGAAAGCUGGGGGAGCAAACCGGAUUAGAUA